RNAcentral lists this ribosomal RNA (912 nucleotides) under Didymella americana. Its description in RNAcentral is "LSU rRNA". It matches the Rfam family "Eukaryotic large subunit ribosomal RNA", at positions 38 to 964 of the family's 3401-position model. The record is from RNAcentral. Lineage: Eukaryota; Fungi; Ascomycota; Dothideomycetes; Pleosporales; Didymellaceae.
GCAUAUCAAUAAGCGGAGGAAAAGAAAACCAACAGGGAUUGCCCUAGUAACGGCGAAGUGAAGCGGCAACAGCUCAAAUUUGAAAUCUGGCGUCUUCGGCGUCCGAAGUUGUAAUUUGCAGAGGGCGCUUUGGCAUUGGCAGCGGUCCAAGUUCCUUGGAACAGGACGUCACAGAGGGUGAGAAUCCCGUACGUGGUCGCUAGCCUUUACCGUGUAAAGCCCCUUCGACGAGUCGAGUUGUUUGGGAAUGCAGCUCUAAAUGGGAGGUAAAUUUCUUCUAAAGCUAAAUACUGGCCAGAGACCGAUAGCGCACAAGUAGAGUGAUCGAAAGAUGAAAAGCACUUUGGAAAGAGAGUUAAAAAGCACGUGAAAUUGUUGAAAGGGAAGCGCUUGCAGCCAGACUUGCCUGUAGUUGCUCAUCCGGGUUUCUACCCGGUGCACUCUUCUACGGGCAGGCCAGCAUCAGUUUGGGCGGUUGGAUAAAGGUCUCUGUCAUGUACCUCUCUUCGGGGAGAACUUAUAGGGGAGACGACAUGCAACCAGCCUGGACUGAGGUCCGCGCAUCUGCUAGGAUGCUGGCGUAAUGGCUGUAAGCGGCCCGUCUUGAAACACGGACCAAGGAGUCUAACAUCUAUGCGAGUGUUUGGGUGUCAAGCCCGAGCGCGUAAUGAAAGUGAACGGAGGUGGGAACCUUUCGGGGUGCACCAUCGACCGAUCCUGAUGUCUUCGGAUGGAUUUGAGUAAGAGCAUAGCUGUUGGGACCCGAAAGAUGGUGAACUAUGCUUGAAUAGGGUGAAGCCAGAGGAAACUCUGGUGGAGGCUCGCAGCGGUUCUGACGUGCAAAUCGAUCGUCAAAUUUGGGCAUAGGGGCGAAAGACUAAUCGAACUAUCUAGUAGCUGGGUUCCUGCCGA